UGGGCUGUGGCUCAGUGUUUGUUAAAGCCUUUGCCUGGCAUGCAGGAAGCCCUGAGUUCAAUUCCCAGCACCAUAA
Molecule: transfer RNA, 76 nt
Filed under: Ictidomys tridecemlineatus (thirteen-lined ground squirrel)
Lineage: Eukaryota; Metazoa; Chordata; Mammalia; Rodentia; Sciuridae
Description: Spermophilus tridecemlineatus (thirteen-lined ground squirrel) tRNA
Rfam family: tRNA
About the family: Transfer RNA (tRNA) molecules are approximately 80 nucleotides in length. Their secondary structure includes four short double-helical elements and three loops (D, anti-codon, and T loops).
Source: Rfam by way of RNAcentral